RNAcentral lists this ribosomal RNA (581 nucleotides) under uncultured bacterium. Its description in RNAcentral is "bacterial SSU rRNA". It matches the Rfam family "Bacterial small subunit ribosomal RNA", at positions 102 to 679 of the family's 1533-position model. The record is from RNAcentral.
ACGGGUGAGUAACGCGUAGGAAUAUGCCUUAAAGUGGGGGACAACUUGGGGAAACUCAAGCUAAUACCGCAUAAUGUCUAAGGACAAAAGCUGGGGACCUUCGGGCCUGGCGCUUUAAGAUUAGCCUGCGUCCGAUUAGCUAGUUGGUAGGGUAAAGGCCUCCCAAGGCGACGAUCGGUAGCUGGUCUGAGAGGAUGACCAGCCACACUGGAACUGAGACACGGUCCAGACUCCUACGGGAGGCAGCAGUGGGGAAUAUUGGACAAUGGGGGCAACCCUGAUCCAGCAAUGCCGCGUGUGUGAAGAAGGCCUGAGGGUUGUAAAGCACUUUCAGUGGGGGGGAGGGAUGAUUGUUUAAGAGAUGAUUGUUUGGACGUUACCCACAGAAGAAGCACCGGCUAACUCCGUGCCAGCAGCCGCGGUAAUACGGAGGGUGCAAGCGUUAAUCGGAAUUACUGGGCGUAAAGAGUGCGUAGGUGGUUAGGUAAGUUAUGUGUGAAAUCCCUGGGCUUAACCUGGGCAGGUCAUAUAAUACUGCUUGACUCGAGUAUGGGAGAGGGUAGUGGAAUUUCCGGUGUAGC